Molecule: ribosomal RNA, 253 nt
Filed under: uncultured bacterium
Lineage: Bacteria
Description: partial 16S ribosomal RNA
Rfam family: Bacterial small subunit ribosomal RNA
Source: RNAcentral
UACGUAGGUGUCAAGCGUUGUCCGGAUUUAUUGGGCGUAAAGCGCCCGCAGGCGGCUUGCCAAGUUCGAUGUGAAAUCUCCCGGCUCAACUGGGAGGGUGCAUCGAAAACUGGCAGGCUUGAGGCAGGGAGAGGGAUGUGGAAUUCCAGGUGUAGCGGUGAAAUGCGUAGAUAUCUGGAGGAAUACCGGUGGCGAAGGCGGCAUCCUGGACCGGCAUUGACGCUGAGGAGCGAAAGCUAGGGGAGCAAACAGG